Molecule: ribosomal RNA, 425 nt
Filed under: uncultured bacterium
Lineage: Bacteria
Description: bacterial SSU rRNA
Rfam family: Bacterial small subunit ribosomal RNA
Source: RNAcentral
GGAAUCUUCCACAAUGGACGAAAGUCUGAUGGAGCAACGCCGCGUGAGUGAAGAAGGAUUUCGGUUCGUAAAACUCUGUUGUAAGGGAAGAAUAAGUACAGUAGUAACUGGCUGUACCUUGACGGUACCUUAUUAGAAAGCCACGGCUAACUACGUGCCAGCAGCCGCGGUAAUACGUAGGUGGCAAGCGUUGUCCGGAAUUAUUGGGCGUAAAGCGCGCGCAGGCGGUCCUUUAAGUCUGAUGUGAAAGCCCACGGCUCAACCGUGGAGGGUCAUUGGAAACUGGGGGACUUGAGUGCAGAAGAGGAAAGUGGAAUUCCAAGUGUAGCGGUGAAAUGCGUAGAGAUUUGGAGGAACACCAGUGGCGAAGGCGACUUUCUGGUCCGUAACUGACGCUGAGGCGCGAAAGCGUGGGGAGCAAACAG